CCCCCCCUACAACCCCAAAAUCUUGGAGUGUAGUAACAAUGAGCUAAAAACCUUUCAAAAAACCAGCGAUAGAGAGAAAGCUAAUACUAGUUGAGUUGUUGGAGCAAAAGAGAAGAAUUGGAGAUGGAGGCAAGCUCCGGUUAUUAGGACUAUGUGGCAGGUCUUAUGGCCGGAAUUUAUACUGUUAUUACCGGUCAUCCUUUUGAAUUUUGAUACCGUCAAGGUGCACUAUUUUGACACACUGUUUUCUCGGCCCUGGCACAAGCCAUUUUAAGGGCUAAAUAUCACUAAGGAGAAGAACUCCAAACGAUGUUAGCACAGUUUUGAAGAUAUCUGUGUUAAUCUCUGCCUUUCAAAGGAAACAAAAGAAUCUUUUUGCUCAAAGAAUAGAAUAUUAGAGGAUUGGCCCCGGAAACAUGUUUGGAGGACCAGAAUGCCACUCAAAGUAGCAUGCAUGCCUCACAUGGACUGCCUUCAAUGAAGCUGUUUUAACACAGGACAAUCUUAGCAGAAGGAGCAUUACUUUAGUCAUCAGAUGUUAUAUGUGCCAACAGAAAUCAGAAAGUGUUAACCAUCUGUUUCUUCAUUGCCCAGUCACUUCUGAUAUUUGGAACUUCUUCCUAUCCAUUUUCGGUAUAACUUGGAUCAUGCCUCACACCACCAAGGAAGCCUAUAUUAGCUGAAUUUUUUGGAGAGUUGACAAAGCCAUCAAAAGAAUAUGGAGAAUGAUCCCAGAAGUCAUAUUUUGGAUUGUUUGGAAGGAAAGAAAUGGUUGAUGUUUUGAUGGAAUAUCAACUCCAACACAUUCCCUAAAAGCUACUCCCUCCGUUUCAAAUUAGAUGAGGUACUUUCCUUUUUAGUCUGUUCCAAAAUAAAUGACACAUUUUUAAAUUUGA
This is a long non-coding RNA of Nicotiana tabacum (common tobacco), 896 nucleotides long. RefSeq lists it as uncharacterized. NCBI's taxonomy places the organism in Eukaryota, Viridiplantae, Streptophyta, Magnoliopsida, Solanales, Solanaceae. The record is from RefSeq and is a predicted model, not a curated record.